GAUGAACGCUGGCGGCGUGCCUAAUACAUGCAAGUCGAGCGAACGGACGAGAAGCUUGCUUCUCUGAUGUUAGCGGCGGACGGGUGAGUAACACGUGGAUAACCUACCUAUAAGACUGGGAUAACUUCGGGAAACCGGAGCUAAUACCGGAUAAUAUUUUGAACCGCAUGGUUCAAAAGUGAAAGACGGUCUUGCUGUCACUUAUAGAUGGAUCCGCGCUGCAUUAGCUAGUUGGUAAGGUAACGGCUUACCAAGGCAACGAUGCAUAGCCGACCUGAGAGGGUGAUCGGCCACACUGGAACUGAGACACGGUCCAGACUCCUACGGGAGGCAGCAGUAGGGAAUCUUCCGCAAAGGGCGAAAGCCUGACGGAGCAACGCCGCGUGAGUGAUGAAGGUCUUCGGAUCGUAAAACUCUGUUAUUAGGGAAGAACAUAUGUGUAAGUAACUGUGCACAUCUUGACGGUACCUAAUCAGAAAGCCACGGCUAACUACAUG
This 497-nucleotide ribosomal RNA is filed under the name uncultured bacterium. RNAcentral describes it as "partial 16S ribosomal RNA". It matches the Rfam family "Bacterial small subunit ribosomal RNA", at positions 28 to 507 of the family's 1533-position model. The record is from RNAcentral.